GCCAGUGUAGUGUAGUGGUUUGAACAUUGGGCUAUAACAUUGAAGAACAGGGUUCAAAUCUCUGCUCAGAAA
Molecule: non-coding RNA, 72 nt
Organism: Phrynosoma platyrhinos (Desert horned lizard)
Lineage: Eukaryota; Metazoa; Chordata; Lepidosauria; Squamata; Phrynosomatidae
Source: the annotation of a GenBank genome assembly